AGUGCCCCUAGAGGCGGUACAGAUACGACUGCUGUGUCACGUGUGUCAUUAGGUGGCAAAGAGAAAGGCUUGUCUAAUCCAGUGUUGUGAUCUGUGAGCACUGGGUGGUUGAUAGUCUGACACU
This is a small nucleolar RNA of Erinaceus europaeus (western European hedgehog), 124 nucleotides long. The record is from Ensembl. Lineage: Eukaryota; Metazoa; Chordata; Mammalia; Eulipotyphla; Erinaceidae.